UACAGAGGUGGCAAGCGUUGUUCGGAAUUACUGGGCGUAAAGGGCGCGUAGGCGGCCGCCUAAGUCAGACGUGAAAUCCCCAAGCUUAACUUGGGAACUGCGUCUGAUACUGGGUGGCUUGAGUUCGGGAGAGGAAUGUGGAAUUCCUGGUGUAGCGGUGAAAUGCGCAGAUAUCAGGAGGAACACCAAUGGCGAAGGCAGCACUCUGGGACGUGACUGACGCUGAGACGCGAAAGCGUGGGGAGCAAACAGG
Molecule: ribosomal RNA, 253 nt
Filed under: uncultured bacterium
Lineage: Bacteria
Description: partial 16S ribosomal RNA
Rfam family: Bacterial small subunit ribosomal RNA
Source: RNAcentral